AGCUUGAUCAUAGAGGAAGUGCCUUUUAACCCAAUUUUUUAGACUGUGCCUCAAAGCAAUUAGGGUGAGACCUCAUUGUUGCUGCUAGAUGAUGCUGGUUAGUACUGAGUCUACUUAGGAUAAGUUUCAUUUUGAGAAGAUAUGACAGCAAAAGAGAUCUGUGACUAUUUUGGCUACUGGCCUCGCUACUUCUUGUUCUGUGUCUGGGUCAUCGACAUCGCCAUGAUAUUUUUGGUUUAUCACUUGGAAACACGUUUGAAAGAAAUAACAGAAAAAUUCCAAAGGGACAAACAUCAAGAAGAGGACUAUGCCAACUACAGAACGAGUGGAUUGAUGUGCGAGCAAGCCAGCUGAAGCAAUCAUUGAACAAUUAAUGUAAAAUUACUUUCAUACAAAUAUGACAUUACAAAGAAAGAACUGAAUUCUUGUAAUGGAGCAUCUUAAUAUAGACCUAUUUCAUUCAAAUGCAUAAUUUUUGUGUGGAAAUCUGAGGAAAUUUAAAAUAAGUACAGCUU
Molecule: long non-coding RNA, 515 nt
Organism: Carassius carassius (crucian carp)
Lineage: Eukaryota; Metazoa; Chordata; Actinopteri; Cypriniformes; Cyprinidae
Exons: 3
Source: RefSeq, a predicted model, not a curated record